CCCUUAGAUGUUCUGGGCCGCACGCGCGCUACAAUGAUGAAUUCAACGAGUUUAUAACCUUGGUUGAAAAGCCUGGGUAAUCUUUUGAACUUUCGUCGUGAUGGGGCUAGACCCUUGCAAUUAUUGGUCUCCAACGAGGAAUUCCUAGUAAACGCAAGUCAUCAGCUUGCAUUGAUUACGUCCCUGCCCUUUGUACACACCGCCCGUCGCACCUACCGAUUGAAUGGUCCGGUGAAAUCUUCGGAUUGAGACUUUGAUUUCUUCACGGAAAACGCUGUUUUAAAAAGUUGAUUAAACCUUACCAUUUAGAGGAAGGUGAAGUCGUAAC
This 328-nucleotide ribosomal RNA is filed under the name uncultured eukaryote. Its description in RNAcentral is "partial 18S ribosomal RNA". It matches the Rfam family "Eukaryotic small subunit ribosomal RNA", at positions 1470 to 1795 of the family's 1831-position model. The record is from RNAcentral.